UAUAUCUAUAUAACUUAUACAACACCUAGUACAUGCCACUUUCAAUUAAGAAAGAAAACAUCACCAAAAAUUUGCUGGAGUCGGGAUCGUUCAGAUGCUGACCGAGAUACUAGACUCCUAUUAACCUGCGCACGGAAACAACCUCACGCUGAGUAUUCCAUACUCAGUGGUAUUACCAUAAUUCAAAUUAUAAUAGCAAUAAAGAAUUUUAAUUACCAAACAUGUAACUAUCUAAUUUCACAAAUAUCAAUUCAUUCUUAAACUUUUAUUAAUUAAUAAUAACAAUACAAUUUUUAACUAUUCUUCAAUUUUCAUCACAUAUUACAUGUAACAAUUUCAAUCACUACAUGAACAUUAAGUUCAUGCCUUUCAUUUUCAAUCUCAAUUUCAAUCCAUUAUUCAACUUUUUCUUUUCUUUCAAUAUUUCAAUAAUAUAAUCAAUCAAUUUAUUUUAAAUUUCUCAUUUUAGAUGUUCACCCUAUUAACAAAUCCGGACUUUGACGGAUACACGGAUUCCAACCCAACACACCAGUACGGCACAUUGUGCCUAAAAAGGUACACAGUACCUGAUCAAUAUACGACACAUAAAGUGCCUAAAACGACACACGAGGUGCCUGAUACGACACACGAGGUGCCUGAAAUACGACACAUAAAGUGCCUGAUCAGUAAAGCCGGCAAAUUCCCGUACACUUCCAGAUCCUAUGGCAUGCCAAUUAUAUCCGACUUAGCCCGACUAGUUAAUAGGGUAUUUCAAUUCUCAAUUCACUUUCAUUUCCAUUCCAAGAUUACUUUUCAAUUAAAAUUUUCACAUUCAAAUCAAUUUACAAUUCAAUUAUACAUACACAUUCACCAUUCAAUUCAAUUCUCAUUCAACUCAAAUAUCAAUACUUACCUUAUAAUUCACUUAUUAAAUAUAGAAUUGAUAUAAAACAUUUAAUAAAAAGUAAUUUGAAUUAUAGUAAUACAAACCGUGAAUUUCUCGUUUUAAUCCUCGAUAGCUUUCUCCUUUCCUUUGUGCGCCGAUGUCUUGGGUUCUUUGUUAACUACGAAAAUAAUAAUAAUUUAUAAUCAUCAAUACAACACAAUUCAAUUUAAUCCAUGAGCCUAAACAUGCAAAUUUAACCAUUUUUAUACAUAUAAUUCCACUAUUUACUUAUAUGUUCAUUCAAAGCUGUCUACUUGAGUCAUUGUUACUAAAUAAUAUAUAUCUUGAGCUAGAAAACUCCAAAUUAAGAUCCACUAAUUUUUCCUGAAACUAGACUCACAUAUCUUCUUACCAUAAAAUUUUUAUAAUUUUUGGUUUAGCCAAUAAGUACAGUUUAUUCUUUAAAUUUGCCCCUGUUCUGCUGUCAAACAGUUCUGACCAUUCUUCACUAAAAAUUGAUUAUCUCCUUGUACAAGAUUCGAACGAUGUUCCCGUUUAAUUAUAUUGAAAAUAGGUUCAAUAAGGAUUUUAAACAUAUAAAUUCCAACCCAUAAUUAUUUUUAUACAAUUUUUAAUGAUUUUUCAAAGUUAGAACAGAGAAACCCGAAUUCAUUCUGACCUUGUCUCACAAAACUUAUAAUAUCUCAUGAUCUACAAUUUCGUUGCUUACACUGUUUCUUCUAUAAGAAACUAGACUCAAUAAGCUUUAAUUCCAUAUUUUUUUCAUUCUCUAGUUCAAUUUAUUCAUUUUUUUGUGAAUUUUCAAAAUCAGAACACUACCACUGCCCAAAACUGUUUUGUGAAAAAUGUUAAUAACCAAAUUUACAACACCAAUUCACACUUUAUUUCUAUUCAAAUUUCAUUUAAACUCAAUUUAGCUAUUAAAUUUUCAACAUAUUUUCCUAAUUUUAAAUUUUUCUCAAUUUAGUCCCUAAAACACAUAACUUAUAGUUUACUUUACAUUUCAAUCUCUAUUCUAACUUAAUUUCAUUCAAUUAAACCCCUAUUUCAUCAUUUUGCUCAACAUGAACUUUGUUUAAAAAUCUAAAAACUUCUAAACUACUAACUUAAUUCAAUCAAAACUUUGUUUUAAUACUUUUAGAACAUCAAAACUAAGAGAAAAGGACAUGAUUGAACUUACCAAUUAAACUCCAAGCUUCAAAAACCCUAUUUCCCCUUUUCUCUCUUUUAUUUUCUUCUUUCCUUCCCCUACUCGAAUGCUUUCUGUUCUCUGUUCU
RNAcentral lists this long non-coding RNA (2163 nucleotides) under Gossypium barbadense (sea-island cotton). RNAcentral's name for it is "long non-coding RNA (GBAR_LNC004880)". The record is from RNAcentral. Lineage: Eukaryota; Viridiplantae; Streptophyta; Magnoliopsida; Malvales; Malvaceae.